Homo sapiens (human) is the source of this 882-nucleotide long non-coding RNA. RefSeq lists it as uncharacterized. The record is from RefSeq and is a predicted model, not a curated record. The transcript is spliced from 3 exons. NCBI's taxonomy places the organism in Eukaryota, Metazoa, Chordata, Mammalia, Primates, Hominidae.
GAGAGGGGGCGUGUCUGGACGUCAAUCUUCACAGACUCCCUCCCCAUGCAGAGGUGGGAUUCACCCAGACACCCCGCUUCUCCUGGCCCUCAGGGUCGCCAGUGUCCUGUUGACUCAGUCAUAAGGGCCUUGGCUGCUGUGGGGUGUGUUCGCUGCGGUGGACUGGGACACCUUCGCGUACGUGCCCAUAGGCACCUUGCGGUGCAGAUUCCAUAUUAAUCAGGUGCAAGGCCCCGGAGCACAGGCUUGGGGCAACUUGCCCUUGAGGGUGCUUCCUGCUUUUCAUUUCGUGAAAUGUGACCUCAUCCGCCACUCAGCCCUCCACCCUCAUUCCACUAACCCCAGGAUAAAGCUAUUUAAUCCUCUCUUGUUCCUCACAGCCAUUAUAAACGGUGCAGGAUCGUUCCUAUUACCCACUCAUGGCACAAGAUCGUCCCCGUUCCCCUUCAGGAUCUUCGCUGUCAAGGCUUCCUUCCCUGGGUGAAUCGCAGGCAGCCCUCAGGAGAGCAGACCCCACUUCUGCAGAUAAGAAUUGUGUCACUGCCCCAGGAGUGCAGUGGAUGGAACCAUAAAGCCAGUGGCUGAGGAAGCUGGAGGAGCUGGAAGUGGCAGAGGCAGCCUGCCUGGGGGACCCAUUCCUGACUUUAAGAAAGGGUCACAAGGACAACCCCAGAGACGCACUCAUAGAGAAACCCUGUGCUUGGGGUUUGUCAAGGGGACAAGGGUAAGUGAAAACACGAAAAUGAAAGGGGUUAUGGCUACUAGGAAGAACAGGGGAAAGGGUUAAAGGCAGAACUGGCAGUUUAAGAAACACUUUUCAUUCAGAGUUCAUCAUCAUUUACUGAUAUCAUUUGGGGUCUGAAUCCUCCUGAUGGGUGAACA